RNAcentral lists this ribosomal RNA (1257 nucleotides) under uncultured Acinetobacter sp. Its description in RNAcentral is "bacterial SSU rRNA". It matches the Rfam family "Bacterial small subunit ribosomal RNA", at positions 76 to 1328 of the family's 1533-position model. Lineage: Bacteria; Pseudomonadati; Pseudomonadota; Gammaproteobacteria; Moraxellales; Moraxellaceae. The record is from RNAcentral.
UAGCUUGCUACCUGACCUAGCGGCGGACGGGUGAGUAAUGCUUAGGAAUCUGCCUAUUAGUGGGGGACAACAUUCCGAAAGGAAUGCUAAUACCGCAUACGCCCUACGGGGGAAAGCAGGGGAUCUUCGGACCUUGCGCUAAUAGAUGAGCCUAAGUCAGAUUAGCUAGUUGGUGGGGUAAAGGCCUACCAAGGCGACGAUCUGUAGCGGGUCUGAGAGGAUGAUCCGCCACACUGGGACUGAGACACGGCCCAGACUCCUACGGGAGGCAGCAGUGGGGAAUAUUGGACAAUGGGCGAAAGCCUGAUCCAGCCAUGCCGCGUGUGUGAAGAAGGCCUUUUGGUUGUAAAGCACUUUAAGCGAGGAGGAGGCUACUUGGAUUAAUACUCUAGGAUAGUGGACGUUACUCGCAGAAUAAGCACCGGCUAACUCUGUGCCAGCAGCCGCGGUAAUACAGAGGGUGCGAGCGUUAAUCGGAUUUACUGGGCGUAAAGCGUGCGUAGGCGGCUUUUUAAGUCGGAUGUGAAAUCCCUGAGCUUAACUUAGGAAUUGCAUUCGAUACUGGGAAGCUAGAGUAUGGGAGAGGAUGGUAGAAUUCCAGGUGUAGCGGUGAAAUGCGUAGAGAUCUGGAGGAAUACCGAUGGCGAAGGCAGCCAUCUGGCCUAAUACUGACGCUGAGGUACGAAAGCAUGGGGAGCAAACAGGAUUAGAUACCCUGGUAGUCCAUGCCGUAAACGAUGUCUACUAGCCGUUGGGGCCUUUGAGGCUUUAGUGGCGCAGCUAACGCGAUAAGUAGACCGCCUGGGGAGUACGGUCGCAAGACUAAAACUCAAAUGAAUUGACGGGGGCCCGCACAAGCGGUGGAGCAUGUGGUUUAAUUCGAUGCAACGCGAAGAACCUUACCUGGUCUUGACAUAGUAAGAACUUUCCAGAGAUGGAUUGGUGCCUUCGGGAACUUACAUACAGGUGCUGCAUGGCUGUCGUCAGCUCGUGUCGUGAGAUGUUGGGUUAAGUCCCGCAACGAGCGCAACCCUUUUCCUUAUUUGCCAGCGGGUUAAGCCGGGAACUUUAAGGAUACUGCCAGUGACAAACUGGAGGAAGGCGGGGACGACGUCAAGUCAUCAUGGCCCUUACGACCAGGGCUACACACGUGCUACAAUGGUCGGUACAAAGGGUUGCUACCUAGCGAUAGGAUGCUAAUCUCAAAAAGCCGAUCGUAGUCCGGAUUGGAGUCUGCAACUCGACUCCAUGAAGUCG